This 508-nucleotide ribosomal RNA is filed under the name uncultured bacterium. RNAcentral's name for it is "bacterial SSU rRNA". It matches the Rfam family "Bacterial small subunit ribosomal RNA", at positions 33 to 518 of the family's 1533-position model. The record is from RNAcentral.
ACUACGCUGGCGGCGUGCCUAACACAUGCAAGUCGGACGAUUCAUCUUUGUAGCAAUAUGGAAGAUGGGGAGUGGCGCACGGGUGAGUAAUACAUAGAUGAUCUGCCUUUCAGACUGGGACAACUCAGGGAAACUUGAGCUAAUACCAGAUAAGACCACAUGAAGGGAUUCACGUGAUCAAACGGGGGAGCAAUUUCCUGCUGGAAGAUGAGUCUAUGUCCUAUCAGUUAGUUGGUGGGGUAACGGCCUACCAAGACGAAGACGGGUAGCCGGCCUGAGAGGGUGAACGGCCACACUGAGACUGAGACACGGCCCAGACUCCUACGGGAGGCAGCAGUGAGGAAUUUUCCGCAAUGGGCGCAAGCCUGACGGAGCGACGCCGCGUGAGGGAUGAAGGUUUUCGGAUCGUAAACCUCUUUUAUCAAGGAAAAAGGCUGUAAUGCUUAUACCAUUGCAGUUUGAUUGUACUUAAUGAAUAAGCCCCGGCUAACUACGUGCCAGCCGCCGC